CGUGGUCAUGCUCUAUGGCAGGGACGGGGACUUCAAUUUCCUCAGCCUCGUCCGCCCGGCUUUCGACCUGUCGGACCGCGGC
RNAcentral lists this transfer RNA (82 nucleotides) under Allostella humosa. RNAcentral's name for it is "Stella humosa tRNA-SeC". Lineage: Bacteria; Pseudomonadati; Pseudomonadota; Alphaproteobacteria; Rhodospirillales; Allostellaceae. The record is from RNAcentral.